Molecule: long non-coding RNA, 790 nt
Filed under: Elaeis guineensis (African oil palm)
Lineage: Eukaryota; Viridiplantae; Streptophyta; Magnoliopsida; Arecales; Arecaceae
Description: long non-coding RNA (EGUI_LNC050538)
Source: RNAcentral
GGCAUAAUUUGACAUGGAUAAGUGGCUGAGAAACUUCUCAACCUAUCCCAUUCCUCGAACUAUAAGCAAACAAAUUCCUUAAGAACAUGAUGUUUAAUGGUAGUGAUAAGCCUAAUUAUCAUUCAAAAAAUAAUUAUUGAAUUUUGAAUCAUGCAAGAUUUGCUUGACUUCUAUAAGUAAUCAAAAUUCUCAUUUUCUAGAUUUAAUUAGAUUCACCUUCCUCCCUAAUCGAAGGUGACAUGUGAUUCAGGUUGCCCAAGAUGACGUGAAGGCAUAAUUUGACAUGGAUAAGUGGCUGAGAAACUUCUCAACCUAUCAAGCAAACAAAAUCCUUAAGGACAGGAUGUUCAAUGGUAGUGAUAAGCCUAAAUAUCAUUCAAAAAAUAAUUAUUGAAUUUUGAAUCAUGCGAAGAUGUGCUUGACUUCUAGAAGUAAUCAAAAUUCUCAUUUUCUAGAUUUAAUAAGAUUCACUUCUCUUAAAAUCAAAAUUUAAUUCAGGAAAGGUUUUUCUUAAUCAAGUGCUUAAUAGGAAAGGGAAAAAUAGAAGGAAACGGAACCAAUAAAAUAGAAGGCCAUGGAAAGAGUUGCAAGUCUGAAGAAAUUUAGGCAAACAUGCUGGACACUGGCUUACUCUUUAUGAAAAUGUAGGACUUGACCUUGCUUUUAUGAAACUACAGCAAUCGUAAUAGAUUGCAUCUACAUGGCAGAUCUAUAAAUAUACUGUAAGAAACCAUAACAAUUAUCCUUAGCCACCUAUGUCAACUUAGCAAAUGAUGUUUUGUACAAGACC